Molecule: ribosomal RNA, 492 nt
Filed under: uncultured bacterium
Lineage: Bacteria
Description: partial 16S ribosomal RNA
Rfam family: Bacterial small subunit ribosomal RNA
Source: RNAcentral
AGUGAACGCUGGCGGUAGGCCUAACACAUGCAAGUCGAACGGCAGCACAGUAAGAGCUUGCUCUUACGGGUGGCGAGUGGCGGACGGGUGAGGAAUACAUCGGAAUCUACUUUUUCGUGGGGGAUAACGUAGGGAAACUUACGCUAAUACCGCAUACGACCUACGGGUGAAAGCAGGGGAUCUUCGGACCUUGCGCGAUUGAAUGAGCCGAUGUCGGAUUAGCUAGUUGGCGGGGUAAAGGCUCACCAAGGCGACGAUCCGUAGCUGGUCUGAGAGGAUGAUCAGCCACACUGGAACUGAGACACGGUCCAGACUCCUACGGGAGGCAGCAGUGGGGAAUAUUGGACAAUGGGCGCAAGCCUGAUCCAGCCAUACCGCGUGGGUGAAGAAGGCGUUCGGGUUGUAAAGCCCUUUUGUUGGGAAAGAAAAGCAGCAGGUUAAUACCCCGCUGUUCUGACGGUACCCAAAGAAUAAGCACCGGCUAACUUCGUG